GAUGAACGCUGGCGGCGUGCCUAAUACAUGCAAGUCGAGCGAACAGACGAGGAGCUUGCGCCUCUGACGUGAGCGGAGGACGGGUGAGUAACACGUGGAUAACCUACCUAUAAGACUGGGAUAACUUCGGGAAACCGGAGCUAAUAGCGGAUAAUAUAUUGAACCGCAGGGUUGAAUAGUGAAAGACGGUUGUGCUGUCACUAAUAGAUGGAUCCGAGCCGCAUUGGCUGGUUGGUAAGGUAACGGGUUACCAAGGCGAGGAGGCGUGUCCGACGGCAGAGAGUGGUAGCCCACCCUGGAGCUGGAACGCGCACAAUGCGCCUGCGGGAGGCACCAGUCGGGUAUGUUCCGCAAUGGUCGAAAGCCUGACGGAGCAACGCCGCGUGAGUUAUGAAGGUCCUCGGAUCGUAAAGCUCUGUUACGAGUUAAGAACAACUGUGUACGUAACUAUGCCCGGCUUGACGGUACCUAAUCAGAAAGCCCCGGCUAACUACGUG
RNAcentral lists this ribosomal RNA (497 nucleotides) under uncultured bacterium. RNAcentral describes it as "partial 16S ribosomal RNA". It matches the Rfam family "Bacterial small subunit ribosomal RNA", at positions 28 to 507 of the family's 1533-position model. The record is from RNAcentral.